UAUCACGGCAUUGUUCCGGAUACGGCGGUU
This 30-nucleotide non-coding RNA is filed under the name Mus musculus (house mouse). Lineage: Eukaryota; Metazoa; Chordata; Mammalia; Rodentia; Muridae. The record is from RNAcentral.